This 273-nucleotide ribosomal RNA is filed under the name uncultured bacterium. RNAcentral describes it as "partial 16S ribosomal RNA". It matches the Rfam family "Bacterial small subunit ribosomal RNA", at positions 524 to 796 of the family's 1533-position model. The record is from RNAcentral.
UACAAAGGGGGCUAGCGUUGCUCGGAAUCACUGGGCGUAAAGGGUGCGUAGGCGGGUCUUUAAGUCAGGGGUGAAAUCCUGGAGCUCAACUCCAGAACUGCCUUUGAUACUGAAGAUCUUGAGUUCGGGAGAGGUGAGUGGAACUGCGAGUGUAGAGGUGAAAUUCGUAGAUAUUCGCAGGAACACCAGUGGCGAAGGCGGCUCACUGGUCCGAUACUGACGCUGAGGUGCGAAAGCGUGGGGAGCAAACAGGAUUAGAAACCCGAGUAGUCC